Molecule: ribosomal RNA, 291 nt
Filed under: uncultured bacterium
Lineage: Bacteria
Description: partial 16S ribosomal RNA
Rfam family: Bacterial small subunit ribosomal RNA
Source: RNAcentral
UGCCAGCAGCCGCGGUAAUACGUAGGUGGCAAGCGUUGUCCGGAUUUACUGGGCGUAAAGGGUGCGUAGGCGGACAAUUAAGUCAGAUGUGAAAUCCCAGGGCUCAACCUUGGGGCUGCAUUUGAUACUGGUUGUCUAGAGUGCAGGAGAGGAGAGCGGAAUUCCUAGUGUAGCGGUGAAAUGCGUAGAUAUUAGGAAGAACACCAGUGGCGAAGGCGGCUCUCUGGACUGUAACUGACGCUGAGGCACGAAAGCGUGGGGAGCGAACAGGAUUAGAAACCCCAGUAGUCC